GAGAAGAAGAAGAAGAAGAAGAAGAAGAAGAAGAAGAAUAAGAAGAAGAAGAAGAAGAUGAUGAUGAUUAUGAUGAUGAUGAUGAUGAUGAUGAUGAACAAGAUGAAAAAGUAGUAUAAGAAGAAGACUAGAAUAAUAAUAAUAAUAAUAAUAAUAAUAAUAAUAAGAAGAAGAAUAAGAAAACUAGAAGAAGAAGAAGAAGAAGACGAAAAAGAAGAAGAAAGAGAAGGAAAAUA
RNAcentral lists this long non-coding RNA (236 nucleotides) under Hordeum vulgare. RNAcentral's name for it is "long non-coding RNA (HVUL_LNC021543)". The record is from RNAcentral. Lineage: Eukaryota; Viridiplantae; Streptophyta; Magnoliopsida; Poales; Poaceae.